This 544-nucleotide ribosomal RNA is filed under the name Escherichia coli. Its description in RNAcentral is "bacterial LSU rRNA". It matches the Rfam family "Bacterial large subunit ribosomal RNA", at positions 1 to 548 of the family's 2925-position model. Lineage: Bacteria; Pseudomonadati; Pseudomonadota; Gammaproteobacteria; Enterobacterales; Enterobacteriaceae. The record is from RNAcentral.
AUAAGGUUAAGUUAAUAAGGGCGCACGGUGGAUGCCUUGGCACUAGAAGCCGAAGAAGGACGUGACAAACGACGAAAUGCUUUGGGGAGCUGUAAGUAAGCGCUGAUCCAGAGAUGUCCGAAUGGGGGAACCCACUAACUAAUGGUUAGUAUCCAUAACUGUUAAGGUUAUGAGAAGGAAGACGCAGUGAACUGAAACAUCUAAGUAGCUGCAGGAAGAGAAAGCAAACGCGAUUGCCUUAGUAGCGGCGAGCGAAACGGCAGGAGGGCAAACCGAAGUGUUUACACUUCGGGGUUGUAGGACUGCGACGUGGGACUUUAAAAGGAUAGAAGAAUUACCUGGGAAGGUAAGCCAAAGAGAGUAAAAGCCUCGUAUUUAAAAUUCUUUUGAGCCCUAGCAGUAUCCUGAGUACGGCGAGACACGUGAAAUCUCGUUGGAAUCUGGGAGGACCAUCUCCCAACCCUAAAUACUCUCUAGUGACCGAUAGUGAACCAGUACCGUGAGGGAAAGGUGAAAAGCACCCCGGGAGGGGAGUGAAAUAGAA